This is a long non-coding RNA of Pectinophora gossypiella (pink bollworm), 266 nucleotides long. RefSeq lists it as uncharacterized. Lineage: Eukaryota; Metazoa; Arthropoda; Insecta; Lepidoptera; Gelechiidae. The transcript has 2 exons. The record is from RefSeq and is a predicted model, not a curated record.
GUCAUCUGCAAAGAGUGAUAUAUCAGACAUGAUACCAUGUUUAAGAUAUGUAAGGUAGAUACUGAAUAAAAUAGAGAAUGUGCGAUUUGACAGGAAGUCUUCAAUCCACUUCACGACAUUGCCUCUGAUUCCAAAGGGCUCUAAUUUAGCAAUCAAUGGUGUGACAGGAACUCGAUCAAAAGCUUUUUCAUAGUCCAAGUAAAUAAUAUCUGUAGGUAUUCGUGCCUCCCAAUUUCUUGCACAAAACCAUGUUGCUCCUCGAUGAU